GACCAUUCUCAUCCACUGAGCCUCCCUCCUGCAGCUGGCUGAUGCAGUUCACUGCUGUCUGUGUAGAUACGGAGCUGUGACGAGAACAAGAGGCCAGAAAGCAUCCAGGCUCUUUAAGAGAAAACCUUUCUUUAACCGUUUUCGAAACUUUUCAAAGUCAGGGGCUUGUCCAGUCCAACCUCCCCACUGCUCCUAGCUCCCGAGGCUCAGUGCUCUUGGCUUCUGUCCGCCCUGCUGAGGGUCCUGCGGCGUUGCCACUGCUCAGCCAUGCUCCUGCUGCUCGUCCCAGUGCUCGCGGUGAUUUUUGUCCUGGGAGGAACCAGAGCCCAGUCUGUGACCCAGCUUGACGGCCAGGUCACUGUCUCUGAAGGAGCCCCUGUGCUGCUGAAGUGCACCUACUCGUCGUCUGUUUCAGUGUAUCCCUUCUGGUACGUGCGAUACCCCAACCAAGGACUCCAGUUUCUCCUGAAGUAUGUAUCAGGACCCACCCUGGUUAAAGGCAUCAAAGGUUUUGAGGCUGAAAUUAAGAAGAGUGAAAGCUCUUUCCACCUGAAGAAAUCCUCAGCCCAUGUGAGAGAUGCAGCCGAGUACUUCUGUGCUGUGAGUGACACAGUGCCUGAGACUGCAGGGGAGCUGAACACAAACCUCCUGAGAUACUGAGACUUUCUGUGACUCAAGAACUCAACCUUGAAGUCUGUUUUAUAAUGUUAAAUAGCCACUCAAAGUUUCUGAUGCUUACUGAUGUAUGCUGUAUCUUUUUCAACUAUUUAGUUUUAAACUAUGACUUUAAAGUGUUUCUGCAUUGUGAAGUUUAGAUAAUUAAAAUUGAAUAUAAAUAUCAAGCAGGUUGAAUUUAAGUAUAUUUCGUUACUGUUUUUAUGUUUCACCCAUGUUCUUUUUUUUCUGACUCCUUUUAGGUUAUUUAAAUACUUUUAAAUUCAUCUUUUAAUUAUGAACUUUUUGGCUAUAUCUCUGUACUUUUUGAGUAGUUGCUCUGGAGAUGGCAACGUACAUGCCUAAUUAUCCAGGGUCUUCUGUGAGCAAAUAUCAUACCUCUUUAUGUGAAAUGUCAAAAUCUUAUACAAUGUCUCUUGACCAACACUAAAGUUUGUUAUUGUUGUUCAUAUACAUUAGUUACAUACAUUGAAAACUUCAUCAGGCCUGGCGCAGUGGCUCAUGUUUAUAAUCCCAACACUUUGGGAGGCAGAGGCAGGAGGUUUGCUUGAACUCAGGAGUUUGAGACAAGCCUGGGCAACAAAGUGAGA
This is a non-coding RNA of Cebus imitator (Panamanian white-faced capuchin), 1265 nucleotides long. Lineage: Eukaryota; Metazoa; Chordata; Mammalia; Primates; Cebidae. The record is from the annotation of a RefSeq genome assembly.